AUGCAGCCAGAACAAAAGAAAGCAAGAGUAGAACAAAGAAAAGCUCGCCGUCAAAUGGAAUGCAACACACCAUCAAAAGAUUCACUUCCAAUGGAGAACCCUGAAUAUGUCGCAACCGAACAAGAGGUUAGUACUUCUACGUCUGCUGUAAAACACAGGGAUCAUGUGGCAGCAGGAAAAAGGCAAACAUUGCUACACCAUCGUAACGAACAAUUCAUGAGAAGACAGAGGCAAAUUGUUUCCGUAUCAUCAAAAGUAGAUACAUCCAUGAUGAAAAACACCGAUGAAAACAAAGAACCUCUGGAGCAACAACGAGUCAUGACUUAUGGUAAUAAUCUCAAGUUUAUAUAA
Molecule: ribosomal RNA, 351 nt
Filed under: Triticum aestivum (bread wheat)
Lineage: Eukaryota; Viridiplantae; Streptophyta; Magnoliopsida; Poales; Poaceae
Description: partial small subunit ribosomal RNA
Source: RNAcentral